UACGUAGGGUGCGAGCGUUGUCCGGAAUUAUUGGGCGUAAAGGGCUCGUAGGCGGUUUGUCGCGUCGGGAGUGAAAUCCACUGGCUUAACUGGUGGCUUGCUUUCGAUACGGGCAGACUGGAGGUAUGCAGGGGAGAACGGAAUUCCUGGUGUAGCGGUGAAAUGCGCAGAUAUCAGGAGGAAGACCAGUGGCGAAGGCGGGUCUCUGGACAGUUCCUGACACUGAGGCACGAAGGCCAGGGGAGCAAACGGG
This 253-nucleotide ribosomal RNA is filed under the name uncultured bacterium. RNAcentral's name for it is "partial 16S ribosomal RNA". It matches the Rfam family "Bacterial small subunit ribosomal RNA", at positions 524 to 776 of the family's 1533-position model. The record is from RNAcentral.